AGUAUUUUUAAAAUGUAACGCAGUUUAACGGCUUGUUAUUAGAUAUUCUAAUAUCCAGAAUUGUUUUUUAUUAAAAGUAAUAUAACAAUACACUUUAAACAAGAAUUGGACAAUGUUACUAUUAGUAGUUAUUAUAAAUAUAUUUAAGGAACUCGGCAAAUAGCCGCUCAACUGUUUAUCAAAAACAUAGCUAUGUGCGCUAAUACAUAGUUAUUUCUGCUCCAUGAUUAUUAAAUAGCCGCAGUACUCUGACUGUGCAAAGGUAGCAUAAUCAGUUGGCUUUUAAUUGGAGUCUGGUAUGAACGAACACAUGGGUGGCGACUGUCUCAAUAUAUUUUUCCUAACUUUUUAAUCAAGUGAAAAUACUUGUGCUAAUAAAAAAGACGAGAAGACCCUAGAAACUUGAAAAGUUUUUUGUUGGGGCGACAGAGUUACAUAUAACUAAUUUUAUUGAACAUGACAUUAAUUAGAAAGGAUAAGUUACUCUAGGGAUAACAGCAUAAUUUUAAUAGUUUGUGACCUCGAUGUUGGAUUAGGUACUAUACCCUUUAGGCAAGGGUAUAAGACGCUCUGUUCGAGCAAAUACACCUACAUGAUCUGAGUUCAGACCG
This 611-nucleotide ribosomal RNA is filed under the name Helix lucorum. RNAcentral describes it as "partial 16S ribosomal RNA". The record is from RNAcentral. Lineage: Eukaryota; Metazoa; Mollusca; Gastropoda; Stylommatophora; Helicidae.